GAUGAACGCUAGCGACAGGCCUAACACAUGCAAGUCGAGGGGCAUCGGGGCGUAGCAAUACGCUGCCGGCGACCGGCGGAUGGGUGAGUAACGCGUAUGCAACCUGCCUUCAGCAGGGGGAUAGCCCGUUGAAAGACGGAUUAAUACCCCGUAACACAGGGGCUCCGCAUGGAGAUUAUUGUUAAAGGGAUACUUCCUUCGGGGGUAUUCCGGCUGAAGAUGGGCAUGCGUUCCAUUAGGUAGUUGGUUGAGGUAACGGCUCACCAAGCCUACGAUGGAUAGGGGAACUGAGAGGUUGGUCCCCCACACUGGUACUGAGACACGGACCAGACUCCUACGGGAGGCAGCAGUGAGGAAUCUUGGUCAAUGGACGAAGUCUGAACCAGCCAUGUCGCGUGAAGGAGGACGGCCCUAAGGGUUGUAAAACUUCUUUUGCAGCGGAAUAAAAGUAUUCCACGAGAUGGGAUAUUGCAAGUACGCUGCGAAUAAGGAUCGGCUAACUCCGUGCC
This 509-nucleotide ribosomal RNA is filed under the name uncultured bacterium. RNAcentral's name for it is "bacterial SSU rRNA". It matches the Rfam family "Bacterial small subunit ribosomal RNA", at positions 28 to 509 of the family's 1533-position model. The record is from RNAcentral.